Molecule: long non-coding RNA, 865 nt
Organism: Brassica napus (rape)
Lineage: Eukaryota; Viridiplantae; Streptophyta; Magnoliopsida; Brassicales; Brassicaceae
Exons: 2
Source: RefSeq, a predicted model, not a curated record
AAGAGAUUCUUCAAAAACUUAAUUUUCCCAUUCAAUUAUUAUGUCGUUUGCUGACAAACAAAAAAUUAUUAUGUCGUUUUUGCAACUUCCACUGACGUUUCCAGGAAAAUAACAAAAAUAGAUCUUUUCUUAUAUCAAUAAUGACGACAAUAAGUCAAAAGAUUAUUUAUAUCUCACAUAGAUAGGAUGGAUGUGCUUUCGAGUUUAUACAAAAUGCAAAAGGAAAACACUUACCGCUUUCUCUCUCAUCUCUGUUCUCUCUCUUGCAUGAGAAAGCGGUUGAGUUUUGGUCGACGCCGGUUCCUCUUUCCGGCUUCGAUGUGUGACAUAGUCACCAGAUCAUUUCCGGUUGCAGUUUCCCGAUAGUUCGGGCAUUGACUCUGGGGAGAGGUGGUUCACAUAACAUCAUCUCCUACGGCUUUCAUCUCCAGGAAGAGAUCGGAGUUUUAGAUUCAAUCGUAAGCAGUUGUAAUUCCUUCUUCAAAUCGUAGAUCCGUCAGAGUUGAUUCGCCGUCUUGAGUUUAAGGGAUGUUCUGUUUGAGCGGCUUCUUCUCCAGUUUGGCUUCGCUGAAGGCGGAGCUCCGGCGUGCAUGCUCUCUGGCUCCGGAGGAAGCUCGUGCCUUCCAUUUGUGAUGCGUGUUCAUUGGGCGACGGGCGUCCGGACACGUGGUGGAUGGAGCUGGCAUCUUUCUCUUCAGUUUUUCUUCGGGCUUAAGGCCCAUAAGUUGUGUUGUAUUGUGGCCUAUUGUUUAGGCUUGUCUUUCUUUUAGUGGCUUUUAUUGGUCUUUUUGUGUUUGUGUUGUUGUUGGGUUUCGUUUUUUUUGGGCUUAGUCUCUUUAAUAAAAUUUCAGUGGAAAAAAAAAAA